CUAAGGAUUUCUGUAAGAGGAAAGAAGUAUAAAAGCCUUAAUGUCUGUUGCCUGGGAAGCACAGAUUGUUAUCCUCUGCCCUGACACCAAUAGGCACUUCAGAUAAGGAAACAGAGGCAGAGAGAGUUUAAGCAACUUACCCAAGGUCACACAGCAGGAAGUGGCAGAGCUGGAUUUGAACCAGAGAGGCGACUCCAGAGCCCAUGCUCUUCCCCAGUCGGCUCUGCCACCUUCUAGGCCUCCAAAGGGAAUGACAAUGUCUUCCCGGGAAUAACAUAGAGAUUUCUCUGGGAGGUAAGAGGAUGGCGCAGGACUCAGAAGUCUGAAGUGUGGGACCCAGAACACCCAGAUCAGGUGGGAGGCCUGUGGUGGCCUAGAGUGCUGGCUGUCCCCAGGUGGCCAGGGUGGAACCAGCUCCGCCGCCCUCUUCCCGGGGUGAGGGCUGUGUCAUUUGCUCCCCCCUAAUCCUCCAAGCCUGCGGCCCAGCCCCAGGCCUCCAAACCCAAGACCACCCAGUUGAGACUGGAAGGAAAACCUGCCCUUGUAAGUGGAAUCAGGUGAAAUCUGGCUGCAAAUUAGUCUGUCAGAAACCAAAAGGCUGUGUCACAAGUGUGGCCAGUGUGGCUGUCACUGUCAGCUGCAUGGAAAUGACGGAGAUGAGAGGGACAGCGUCUGUCCAGAGGGGAGCUAGAGGAGGGAAUGUCGUGGACGAUGGAAGGAGGACAGGCCUGCUGCCAGCAGACAUGUCGUCCGCAGAGAACUGGUCCGGGACGGGGAGAUGCCCCCGCGGUGGGUAGCCUGUGGUCUGAGGCCAGAACGUCGGACACACAGGAGCGAUUGGUGGUCUCCUGGGAGCUGGGGGGGCAUCUUGGCCAGAUGGUGGGGUCCUCAGAGGCUCAGCCCCUUUGUGUGUGUGUGGGGGGGGGGGUGAUGGCCCUCUGCCCUGUCCCUCUGAAGGUGGCCAUAAGGGAGGGAAGCCAAAGAGCUCAGCGUUGGACAGACUGGGAAGCGAGUCCCACUUCCCUCCAGGCCGGUGACUCUGCACCUCAGUUUCUCCAGCUGUCAAGUGGGGCUAAUAUCAACCUAUAUGGACUGCCUGCUGGUGCGAGGCCCUAGUUAAGCACCUUUAAUUCCUAGGGGCGGGGACUUUAUUAUCCUCAUUUACAGCUGAGAAAACAGAGGCACAGAGAGGUUAAGUCACUUACCUGGGGUCACACAGAUGCUGUCUGUGGUUAGGACUCCAGACUAGCCGGGAUCAAGUGGAGCCCUCGGCACCGUGCUGGUGGCCUGGCAGGUGCUCGGGAACGUCAGGUGCUGUUUGCGACCCUAAUCACUGCUGCUGCCACCAAGAGGACCAGGAGUGAGACCACCGUAUCUGCCUCUGAGGGCCGUCGUGAGCGGGAAGCGAGGUGACGCACGUAGGACCCAGUGCACUGGCUGCGGCCAAGUCAGCUGACGGCGACCCCGUGGCAGCAGCAGGAGCAGCUCUUGCUGAGGGUGUCACAGCGGCUUCUGCCUGUUCUCCGGGCCGAGGGCCUGCCUGCCAGCUCCUCUGAGCCUGGUCCCGAGUGCGGGUCCGGGGUGGGGGCGGUCUGGGGUUCUUGGGAAGGGGCGGGCGGGCCCAGCUCAGGCCUCCCUCGGGGGCCUGUCCCCCACAGCCAUGCCGGGGGAGCCGCUCCUGGUGGGCUCGGGAGAAUGCCGGGCUGAGCGGCCACAGGCCAAGUUCCUGCCGUCCGGUCUGUGCCCCCAACCCCAGCCCCGCUGACUUGCAGGCUGCUGGGCAAACACUGGAGGUGGUGACUUCUCAGGCUCUAGUGGGCACGGCCCUCCUCCUGCCCCACCCCCUCCCCCCGGCCUCACUGUGGGACAAACGGCAUCUGGUCCAACACACCCACCACCGGAUGUUUCCUGGUACAGAGUUUAUCAAAUCGCAGGUUGUGAUGCAUGAGUGGGUCUUGAAAUCAAUUUAGAGGGUGGAGCCCUGCACUUAAACUCUGCAAUAGACCAGAAUAGAAUAGAUGAGGAAAUAUCAGAGCGCGUGGCGUGCAGUGAAGGGGGGUUUGGGGAAACUUCUGCUUUGUUUUCACAUAAAUAGGCGUGUGAGUGUGUGGAACACCGUGUGACGUGUUUCCUACUGCGGUUAUGUUAAAAAAUGAUUGACAGACUGUCUCAUGGCCUUCGUGUCACACAAAGUGUGACACUUGUGUGACUAAGUGUGACACUUAGUCACGCCGGGGCCCAGCAGGUCUGGGCUCUGUUGAUUGCGGGGAGGAGACUGUAAAGCCUGGAACAUGAAGGUGGGAGAGAAUGGGUCGCGGGAGAUGGCACCCGGGCCGGUGCAGCAAUGAGUCCCCGGGCCGCCCCCCCUCUUCCCUCCCUGGCUAAGCCGCUCUGCCCCGUUGUCACUUCUCUGCAGCCCGGGUCCCCGCUUUCUGCUCUUCCCAGCGCCCAUCAGUUCAGAUGUUACCACGGUGACUUCCGGCUCUUGCUUCUCUUCUGUGAGCCUCCCUGGAGCGCCGGCUCCCCCAGGACGGGAGCCCGUUCCCCGAUGCACCCCAGCUCGAGCCCAGCGCGGGGCACGGUAGGGACUCACGUGUUGGGAGGAUGUCUGGGGUGGGGGGAGGUCUGCCGCGCAGGGGUGAGCCCCAGAGAGCAGCACGGCAGGGGGAGGGGCUCCUCUUUCAGAAAGUCCCCGAGUCCCCCGGCCCCGCCCACCACGUGCCCCCUGCCUGGCUUCCUGCUGCCGCCCCUGCGUCGCCCCUGAGGGUCCCAGCUGCCAGGCUGUGUGGGAGGCCCAGAGACUGGAGGGGCUGGAAAUGAAUGCCCCGGGGGGCCCAGGCCUGAUGGAGUUGGGGCCACGCCCAGGUCUCUUGGCUGCGGUGCCUGUUUGUGCUGCGGGCUCCCCGGCGGGACUGGCCUCUUGAUUCCCACGGACGUAACUUGCUGGAGGUGGGCACACGCCCCUUCCCAACAACCUCAGGCCCAUCUUCUGACUGCGCUCUGGGGCUGGACUCCACGGGCUGCAGACAACCCCUUGGCUGGUUCCCAGAGGAACAGGCGGAAUGCUCGUGGCCUCCGUCCCUGUCUGGUCUCCCUGCCCCACACCCCCGACCGGUGUUGUUUGUGAUCACCCCCCAGAGGAAAUCCUUGGACUUGAAGCCUUGCCUCAGGGUCGGCUUCUGGAGAAACCAAAACAGAGACAGAGGAUGGAGGGCUUUCUUCUGGUCUGUGUUUACAUUCUGUGCAUGCGAUGCGUGUAUGUAUGUAUAGCCCACGUGACCCUGCUGAUCAGAGGAGGCCACGAGUCCGGAGGGUGAGCCCUGGCAUCGGUCCACUGCUCUCCAUGGCAACCUGGCUGAUACCUGUUUAUAAAUUACAUCCAGUGAAUUCUGAAACGUCUCACUGAUAGAACAUGGCCUGUAAGAAGAAAGAACACCCUUGCAAACCUGAUCAAAUCUCCCAUGCGGUCCUGACGUCGCUGGUGGACGGAGGGACUAACAUCCAGGUUUGCAGAGGACCUUGUACUGGAGGUUGGCAUUGAGGACUCCAGCAGGACAAGAGCACAUUUUUUCCCAUCCCAGUGAAGGAGAAAUUGAGAAGGCAAGAAGCCUGGCUGGUGGCAGUCCCUGGAGUCAAUGAGGUCGGUAGGCUCUGGUCACAGCAAGAAAGGGCUGAGCCCCGAGCAAGUGCCGGGUAACCAGAACACAGAAAUAUGCCUCCAUCCCAGCUGCGGGCAUUGCACAGGGCCGUGGGGCUCAGUGGCUUCUCUCUGGGCCCUUGUGAUUACUGUGCUUAGCAUGGGUCCCCUCCCCGCCUCCCCUGAGGUCCUGUCUGCACACCUCACUGGCACUGAGGAUUUCAGACUGUCCUUGCCCUGGGUGAUGACCAUAGGGUGAAUGACAACAACUCCCAUCCCUGUGAUGCUACGUUAUGUGAAUGUGUGGAUGGAUGUGUGCAUUUAGGAAACAUGUGCCUUAUAACCGCUCUAUGAUUAUUAUCUCCACUCUACAGAUGAGGAAACCGAGGCUUAGGGUAAGAAACUUGCUCAAGUGGUGGGAUUGGGAUUGGAACCCACGUCUGGCCUCAGAUCCCUGACUUGUAACCUCUACCAUAGCCCCAAAGGUCCUUCCUGUCUUUAGGGUCUGUGGUUCACUGGCCCCUCCUUACAUCCCCAGUGAAGACAAGCCUGGCCUUUGUGUGCCUGGUCUGAGGGCAAGUCCUGGUUUUCUGGAAGGUCAUUUGGUGUCAGGACAGAAGACAGACAUUCGGGAGUCUGAGCACUAAUUUUCCUGGUUAUUCUGAAAAGGUGCAGUUUUCUCAUUGAAGACGGCCCAGAGGUCUGAUCUGAUUGUGGGCUGGUUUAAAAGUGCUUGCUCUGACCUCCAAGGGCAUCUGCUGAUUGGCUGUCCAGCCACUCAGACCCCGCCGUGCGCCUGCGCUGGGCUAAGUGCUGCAUGAGGGUUUAUUCAUUUGAUGCUCACAGCAGUUCUGUUUUAUUUCUAAAUUGGGAAACAGGCACAGAGCAGUAAUUAAGUUCAUUAGUAAGUGAGAGGGCUGAGAUUUGAACCCAGACUGCCAGGUGCCGGGGUCCAGGCUUCUAACUACUAUUCUGUGUGGCCCCCAAAAGAGCCCCAGGCUGCAAGUGCAGGGACUUUUGUGCGGGGGCAGGUGGAGCCUGUUUCUCUAAGGGUCCUGCAGGGCCCACUGGGAAGGGCGGGUUGGCCGUGACUGUCUCUGCCGGGAGCCCCAUCCCUGACCCCUCCCACGAUCUGCUUCUUCUCCUUCAGGACUCAGGUCCAAUGUCCCCUCCUCAUUCCCUGAGUCCCUAUUCAGGUACACCCCCGCCCGCCACUCCAUCCCUUCAGCCUGGUUAAAGUUCUUCCCAGUACACGUCUCACUCUCUGGAAUUGUCUGCAGGGUUGCCUUGAUUUCUUGCUCAUUGUCUGUCUCCCGUCACGAGGGCAAGGUCUGGGCUGCAUCCCCAGGGCCUGGAACUGUGCCCGGCACAGAGCAUGGGCUCCCCAGCGCCUGUGGGAUGGAUGACGUGCGCGCGGAGAAAUCCCCAAGGUCACCCCCAACCUGCUCACUCGACAGAGGACGCGUGCCCUGCCCCCCCGGCUGCACUGCCACGUGGACACACGUCCUGGGCACAUAUGACACAGGUCAUCAUGGACCCUCCAGCAAGAACGAAGCCGUCUGUGCCCAAGACUCAGCUCAGCCUCCAGAUCCUACUGCCUGUGGACGUCCCAAACCAACCAACCGCGGCCCUGCGCCCCUCAGAGGGACACUGAGCGGGGAGGUGGCGCGUGGACAGGACCCCUCCACACACACCUGUACUGGGGGGGAUGGAACAUAAACGGGGGAGGGGCAUGGCUCACCAUCCCCAGCCAGGACGAUGUUCAAUCCACCCCAUUUCGCGUGGCUUUUCUCCUCUGGAAAAAGUCCUGACAUCUCUUUUUUUUGGCUCUUUUAGUCUGAGGAGAGAUGAUGAGCCACGAGCUGUGGUGGAAUAAAAACCUGGGAGAUUUGCUCCCUCGUCACCUCCUGAGCUCAAACCAGGUGGCGUCCUUAGGGGCUGACAGUCGGUGGCGUUGAACAAAAGUGUCAUGGUCACAGGAGGAAGCUUUUCUCCCAGGAGGGGACUGUGGGGAGUUUGUGCCCAUGAAGUCUUGGCUGGGGAGUUGCUUUCCUAAAACCUACUUUCCUAAAACUCUA
Long non-coding RNA from Balaenoptera acutorostrata (minke whale), 5715 nucleotides. RefSeq lists it as uncharacterized. NCBI's taxonomy places the organism in Eukaryota, Metazoa, Chordata, Mammalia, Artiodactyla, Balaenopteridae. The transcript is spliced from 4 exons. The record is from RefSeq and is a predicted model, not a curated record.